Molecule: ribosomal RNA, 802 nt
Filed under: uncultured bacterium
Lineage: Bacteria
Description: bacterial SSU rRNA
Rfam family: Bacterial small subunit ribosomal RNA
Source: RNAcentral
AGAGUUUGAUCAUGGCUCAGAUCGAAUGCUGACGGCGUGGAUGAGGCAUGCAAGUCGUACGAUAUGGGGGCAACUCCAUAUAGUGGCGCAAGGGUUAGUAAUACAUGGGUAAUCUACCUUUGACCUGGGAAUAACGGCUGGAAACGGCCGCUAAUACCGAAUGAGGUGUUUUAGGGCAUCCUGAGACAUCAAUGCGGGGGAUUGUAAGACCUCGUGGUUAAAGAAGAGCCCAUGGGAUAUCAGCUAGUUGGUGAGGUAAUGGCUCACCAAGGCUAAGACGUCUAGGCGGAUUGAGAGAUUGACCGCCAACACUGGGACUGAGACACUGCCCAGACUCCUACGGGAGGCUGCAGUCGAGAAUCUUUCGCAAUGGGCGCAAGCCUGACGAAGCGACGCCGUGUGAGCGAAGAAGGCCUUCGGGUUGUAAAGCUCUUUCGCUAGGGAACAAGAGAGACAGACUAAUAUUCUGUCGAUUUGAUGGUACUUGGUAAAGAAGCACCGGCUAACUCCGUGCCAGCAGCUGCGGUAAUACGGAGGGUGCAAGCAUUGAUCGGAAUUACUGGGCGUAAAGGGCGCGUAGGCGGUCAGGAAAGUCAGAUGUGAAAUUCCGGGGCUCAACCCCGGAGCUGCAUUUGAAACUUCCUAUCUAGAGUUCAGUUAGGGAAAACGGAAUUCCACGUGUAGCGGUGAAAUGCGUAGAUAUGUGGAAGAACACCAGUGGUGAAGACGGUUUUCUGGGCUGAUACUGACGCUGAGGCGCGAAAGCAAGGGGAGCAAACAGGAUUAGAUACCCUAGUAGUCC